UACGUAGGUGGCAAGCGUUGUCCGGAAUUAUUGGGCGUAAAGCGCGCGCAGGCGGUCCUUUAAGUCUGAUGUGAAAGCCCACGGCUCAACCGUGGAGGGUCAUUGGAAACUGGGGGACUUGAGUACAGAAGAGGAAAGUGGAAUUCCAUGUGUAGCGGUGAAAUGCGUAGAGAUGUGGAGGAACACCAGUGGCGAAGGCGACUUUUUGGUCUGUAACUGACGCUGAGGUGCGAAAGCGUGGGGAGCAAACAGG
Molecule: ribosomal RNA, 253 nt
Filed under: uncultured bacterium
Lineage: Bacteria
Description: partial 16S ribosomal RNA
Rfam family: Bacterial small subunit ribosomal RNA
Source: RNAcentral